RNAcentral lists this long non-coding RNA (2157 nucleotides) under Callithrix jacchus (white-tufted-ear marmoset). RNAcentral's name for it is "lncRNA (ENSCJAG00000076146.1)". The record is from RNAcentral. Lineage: Eukaryota; Metazoa; Chordata; Mammalia; Primates; Cebidae.
GAAAUUGUCCCCACCAAAGAACAAGGAAAUCAUGGGACUUCCCCUUUAAGUUUCCUGUUUCUCAGCAAAUCAAAGUGUGCUGCUGUUGUCCAGUGUCUGAAAACAAUUUUCAGAUGUAGGAGGGGCGGCGGCGGCGGCGGCAUCAAGGACGUAGGAGGGGCGGCAGCGGCGGCGUGUAGGAGGCAGGAGGGGCGGUUAACCACCAAUCGGCUAGCUCUGGCCACCUCAAAAAGCAGCAGGGACAAGGAUGGCAGCAGAAGCCAGAGGCCUCUCGGGUCACGGUGGGGGUGCAUACUGUCACUGGAGUGCGCGAGGAAGGCCACAAGGAAGAUCUGGGAUAUCUGCUGCCACUUAGCCCCUAUCACUCUGAAAUCAAUCAUCUACAGUGAAAUCAAGGAGACUAUUUCUACAAUAGCAUCUUCAGUCAUCAUCCUCAGCCUUCAAGAACAGACACAAGAGGGCUUUCCAAGAAAGAUGAAGCUCCUCUGACUAAUGUUUCCCUGACGUUUUGAUAAAGGUGGUGUCCUUCAAUAUCUUCGAUGAGAUGUAGUAAGAGUGUGUAUUAGUUUGCUAAUACUGCCAUAAUAAAAUAUCACAGACUGGUUGGCUAGAACAGCAGAAAUUUAUUUUUCCACAGUUCUAGAGGCUGGAAGUUCAAGAUCAAGAUAGGGUUGGUUUCUCCUGAGGUAUCUGUCUUUGGCUUGCAGACAGCCAUCUUCUCAUUGAAUCCUCAUCUGGCAUUUCUUCUCUACAUGUGCAUCCCUAAUGUCUCUUCCUUUAUUUAGAAGGACACCAGUAAUAAUGAAUUAAGGCCCCAUCCUUGGAACCUCACUUGACAUUAAUUACCUUUAAUGGCCCUGUCUUCAAAUACUCACGAUAGUCACAUAAGUCUUCAAAAUAUGAAUAAAUAGGGGGACAUAAUUCAGUCCACCACAUACUCUUCUUUCUUAACAUAUCUUAACAUAGUAGACCUGGUGAGGUGGUCAGUUGCAGUUCUCCUGUAUGCAGGAUCAAAUUGUGCUCUGGCUUUGAGUUAUACUGGUAUCUGGAGUUCUGUUUUGGUACAUUUUGGUAUGUAGAGUCCUGUAACUCUAAAAGAGAAGAUGUUAUUUUGAGGCAGUCGCAGCAGAAGCUCCCUGGUUUUCUGAUGAUGUCUGAGCAAAUCUUUUAAGACCCUGACAUCAUUUCCAUCAUCUCUCUGGCGUACUCGGAAAUAUCCAGCCCACUAUACAGUUUCUGUAGUCUUCACUGCAAGAGCAUGCAAAUAUUGCAAUAGCAUCUUUGUCUCCCAAAACUGUAUCUUUAAUAUUAGGCACUUAAUUCUGUGCAAAUAUAGGUAACAAUUUAUGUCACUCUUUUGCCAUGAACUACUGAUAUCCCAGAGAUCAUCACUGCUUCAAAUCUUAGUUAUUGGAGAUAUCUAAUAACCAAUUGAGACAGCCACUGCAAAAGCCCAUGCUAUUCUGUCACUACUUCUAACUGAAGAAUUAAACCUAUCUCACUUUCUAUUUUUAAGUCUCUUAUGACCAUCUUUCACUGAUCUACUCUAAACAAAAACAUUGAUAGCAAGGAAUUCUGGGAAAUGUAGUUUUACACUUCCAGCCUGUAUCAUACAGGGAAGACCAUGAAAGGUACUGAAUGCCAGUGGGCAGAUACCUGGCACACACUCUUUCUGGAAGUCAUUGGAGGAUAUCCUCCACAAAAUGGAAGAUUAAACCAAAAAGGAAGACAUCAUGAGAUCCUAGAAACUCAGAAUUCAAGACAGAAGAAAGACAAAAGAACUUUCCCAGAUGAUGACAAAGGAAGUCCUAGGAUAACAGGUAUAUUAGUUGCCUAUACAGCAGCAGCCAACCCAGAUUAGAACAGAGGGAUGAAGAAAUUUAAGAGAAGACUUUAAGGAAAAUAAAUGAAACUGAUAGAAUAGUGCUCCUAUGUUGAGAAAAUGUUUACAGUUAUUUUGGAAAGAUAAGAAAGAAUUAAAUAUAAAACAAGUAUAGCUGGGUGCACUGGCUCAUGCCUGUAAUCCCAGCACUUUGAGAGGCCAAGAAAGGUGGGUCGCUUGAGGUCAGGAGUUCAAGACCAGCCUGGCCAAUGUAGUGAAACCCCAUCUCUACCAAAAAAUACAACAUAAUUAACCAGGCGUGGUGGUGCAUGCCU